AUAUGCGAAGCUUCACAGAAAUUAAAGUCUUAUUAAGUUUAGUAUGACCACUCUAACCAUCCAACGAUAGACACUGUCAUACCAAUUAAGUAAGCGCGUAGGGCAAUAGUGAAUGAAUAAAGACAUACGAAACUUCAUAGAAAUUAAAACUCUCUUUAAGUUUCGAAGAGAUAGUAUGGUCAUAGUUAAAAAAAAGAAGAAGAUAUGAAGCUUCACAGAAACGCUAUAAGCUUAAGCCUGUAUAAGUUAGCUUGUUUGAUUAGAAUGGAGACCCAACACUCCUCCAUCUACAAUCAUACAAACCUUUAUUCUAAGUUCUGAUGGCUGUGCGAUCAUUCUCCUACGAUGUGUUCCUCAGCUUCCGAGGGGAAGAUACUCGUUAUGGUUUCACUGGCUAUCUCUACAAUGUCCUCCGGGAAAGGGAAAUUGACACCUUCAUUGAUGACCAGGAGCUCAAUAAAGGGGACGAAAUCACAAAAGCACUUGAGGAGGCAAUUGAGAAGUCCAAGAUUUUCAUCAUCGUGCUCUCUGAAAACUACGCAUAUUCCUCCUUUUGCUUAAACGAACUCACUCACAUCCUUAACUUUACUGAGGGGAAGAAUGAUCUGUCGGUUUUGCCAGUUUUUUACAAAGUGGAUCCUUCAGAUGUCCGAAAACACACAGGUAGUUUUGGAGAAGCACUGGCUAAUCAUGAAAAGAAGUUGAAGUCUAAUAACAUGGAGAAGCUUCAGAUCUGGAAGAUGGCUCUGCACCAAGUUUCUAACUUUGUUGGCCAUCAUUUCAAAGAUGAUGGGUACGUACCCCUCCUCACUUACUUUAUUUUAAAUUCUUUAAUUUUGACUUGUCUAAUCACACUUGAGAAAUUUACAUAUUCUAAGGUCGUGACAUUACAUGACUUGAUAGAAGAUAUGGGUAAAGAAAUUGUCAGAAGAGAAUCACCGAAAGAGCCUGGGGAGCGUAGCAGGUUAUGGUCCCAUGAGGAUAUAAAUCAAGUUUUACAAGAAAACAAGGGGACUAGAAAGAUUGAAAUCAUAUGUAUGAAUUUUUCCUCAUCUGGAGAAGAAGUAGAAUGGGAUGGAGAUGCCUUCAAGGAGAUGAAAAAUCUGAAAACACUUAUUAUCAAGAGUGAUUGUUUUUCCAAAGGUCCCAAACAUCUUCCAAAUACUUUAAGAGUAUUGGAAUGGUGGAGAUGUCCUUCACAGGAAUGGCCACGUAAUUUUAACCCAAAGCAACUUGCUAUAUGCAAGUUACCCGAGAGUAGCUUUACGUCACUCGGGUUGGCCCCAUUAUUUGAAAAGAGGCUCGUGAAUUUGACAAGGUUAACUUUGGACGAGUGUGAUAGUUUAACAGAGAUACCAGAUGUAUCUUGUCUCUCAAAUUUGGAAAAUUUGUCAUUUGGAGAGUGUCGGAAUUUAUUUACAAUUCACCAUUCAGUUGGUUUAUUGGAAAAGCUUAAAAUCUUGGAUGCUCAAGAUUGCCCAAAGCUUAAGAGUUUUCCACCGUUGAAGUUGACCUCUCUUGAAAGGCUUGAACUUUGGUAUUGUUGGAGUCUCGAGAGUUUUUCUGAAAUAUUAGGAAAGAUGGAAAAUAUAACAGAACUUUUCUUGACUGAUUGUCCCAUAACAAAACUCCCACCUUCAUUUCGAAAUCUUACUCGGCUUCGAUCCUUAUGUCUUGGACCCCAUCACCGAACUGAGCAGUUAAUUGACUUUGAUGCUGCCACCCUCAUUCCGAACAUCUGCAUGAUGCCAGAACUAAGUCAAAUUGAGUUUGGCGGUUUGCAAUUGAGGCUAUUGCCUGACGAUGUUUUGAAAUUGACCUCAGUUGUGUGUCCAAGCAUUCGAUUUGUUUGUUUCUAUUACUGCGACCUGUCAGAUGAGCUUCUUCGGCUAUUUCUCUCAUGUUUUGUAAAUGUGAUAAAUUUAAAGCUAACAAGUUGUAAAUUCACAGUUAUUCCCGAAUGCAUCAAAGAAUGCCGCUUUUUAACUUUCCUUACUUUGGAUUAUUGCGAUCGUCUACAAGAAAUUAGAGGGAUUCCUCCAAACUUGAUAAGAUUCCGUGCAAGGACAUGCCCAGCCUUGACUUCCUCAAGCAUAAGCAUGUUGCUGAAUCAGGAACUGCUUGAGGCUCGAGACAUUCACUUAAUAAGUUUGCCAAUAGUAAAGAUUCCAGAGUGGUUUGAGUGCCAGAGUCGGGGACCGUCAAUUUUUUUCUGGUUCCCUAACAAAUUCCCAGUAAUAACUGUUUGCAUUGUUACCUCAGGUCCUAAGAAAUAUUCCAAUUAUCUGGUUCUCAACGUGAUUAUUAAUAAGAAACAUAAACAUCGACAUCAACGUUUUUAUAGUAACGGUUCCAACGCAAUACCUUCUACAACUGUUUUUCGUCUUCAAAUGAAAGAUAAUUUAGAUGAAGAACUAUCAAAGAGUGAAUGGAACCUUGCAGAGAUUGUAUGCGAAGAUUCGUGGGCCGCAUACGGAAUCCAUGUACUGAAAGAGAAAAGUAGCAUGGAGGAUAUUCGAUUCAGUGAUCCUUGCAGAAAAAGAAAAAUUUGUAGUUCAGAGGUUGGGGUUGGGGAAAAAGCAAAGAUUAGUAGGCAGUGAAGUUGUUGAGACACAAUUUGUAGAGCAGCAACAACAUAUGGGUUUUUUCUCACACGUGUGGAACUGGGCACUAUCACUUGUAAUUUCUUGCUGCUCCGGCAAUCAAUAAUUGGAUGAAAGAGAAUUCAAGUUAAGCAUAUGGUAACAACGCUGAUAAAAGACAACAGUGUAAGUAGCCCUACUGAUUCUUGUAGUCUAGUCAAGUUUGGUUUUAGAUAUUGUAUUUUGCUUUGGAUUCAAUGAAAAUAGAUCCAGCAUUUCAAUCUCUUAA
Molecule: RNA transcript, 2871 nt
Organism: Glycine soja
Lineage: Eukaryota; Viridiplantae; Streptophyta; Magnoliopsida; Fabales; Fabaceae
Gene name: TMV resistance protein N-like
Exons: 5
Source: RefSeq, a predicted model, not a curated record